UGUUAUGAGAUAUCCGUUUAUUAAAAUAUGAUAUCAACGUCCCUCCCAUUUAGAGGAUUAUAUACCAAUAUUUUAAUCCAUGAAUAUCCAUUAGAUAUCGUAAAUGAUCGUAUAAUCCAAAUUCAAACAGCUAGAACUCGACGUAAAUCAUAUGCCCAAAAUCAUAAUCCAUAUCUGUUCAAAUUCGAUUCGAUCCAAUUCAAUUGAAUUCAAUACUUGGCAACAAACUCACAUGCAAGAAUCUGUUCAAUACAGUUCGAAUUUAUCAUCAAUUUGUACGUAUAGAGUUUGGCACGACGCCAUUGUCUUCCAGAUUCGACAAGACAUUAAUCUACAAUAACUUCCCGCGUCAUUUGGUAGAAUUGUACUGAUCUCUCUGAAGUAAAGUUUUCUUUACUGAAUACAUUGGGGAUCAAUAUCUGUUUGAAGCAAGAGAAGGAAAAAAUACGUUACUCUGAUGAGUCUACAUUGAGAAAUCCCAAAAGCCCACUUGCCAGUCUAUGCAGGGUAGAAAGAAGAUUUUUCAAAUUCCUACACUAACCAGUAACCACCAAUGCAAGUUCCUGUGGUCCUGACUUUCUGCAUUUAUUGCAUUUCUGCUUCUUCUGCUUCUUUAUUUAAGAUAGGAAAAGAUAAAGAAUGCUUGAGAGCUUUGUAUAUGUUUCAAUCAACAGUAAAAAGAGUCGAAAUCAUCUAGCAUUCAUUUAUGUUGUAAUCUUCUUUCAAACCCACAUGAGAGAGAAUCUGCUUUCUGUUGGUUUUGUAUGUAAAUGUUAUCCCAUAGAAUUGUCUCUUUUGCUUUCUUUGAAUUUGCACCCACUCCGUCCUAGUUGCUUUCUUUGGACAACAUUCACAUAUUUGGUCUCUCCCCACCUUCCCUAUAACCCAAGAGUCACCUAACUGAGCCUCUAAAUUUAAGGUUCUAACCAUUCUAGCUAUCCCUUUCCAAUCUUCUGCUGGUCCUCUCAAAUUGGGUUAUGGUUGAUUCUGUAGGACAUUUGUUUAGGACCAAAAUGUGACACUGUAACUUUCUUAGCCCUGAACCCAAGGUGCAAGUUGGAAGACAGACCCAUGUGAAGCCCUUGUGAACAAUGCUAACCAGACCCCAGCCUGAUUCUUCCUCUCUUCAUUGCAUCAUCAGAACUUUUAUGUGAUAUUGUUACGCCAUACGUGCAAGAUUCAGAUCAGAUUUCAAAUUUAGAUUUGGCACCUGAUAGCCUCAGCAUUCUCCUAAAUCCUUCGCGAUUUGGCAACAUUAUCUUUACUUGUCUUAAAUUAUUUCUAAGAGUGAAGACUAUCCUUACAAACCAAUAAGCACCGCUUAACUUUGAAGUUCUUAUGACUGAGUCAUACAAAAGUUAGGUGCACGUUGAUAUAGGAAGUAACUUUUGAUUCCUUUAAAGCUUUUCUUAACCAUACUUUUAUAUCCUCACGAUUCCUCUUAUUUAGAUGGGAUAUCGGUUCAUUUAUGUACCGUUCCUAAACUAGUAUAAACAUAAACUUGUAGUUGAAGCAGCCCAAGUUUGCAUUUUCACUUCAUUGUUACGAAAAAUCCAACACAAGAAUCCACUUACAAAGUGCUAGUCUCACAUAGGAAGUUCUUAAAUGGUGCCUUUUGAGUGAAAGAAGGGAGUCUCAACAUCAUUGAAGGUUCCAAAAGGCUUCUUUGCAGGUGUGGUUUCAAUAUCAUACUUAAAACAAACUUCAUUUUAGGAUUUGCUAAACAGAGCUGAAGAAAAAUGUAGUUUUGAUCAUCCAAUGGGGAGCGUAACUAAUCCAUGUAGAGAAGACACUUUCAUUGAAAUCACUUCUAGGCUUGGGAAGUAGAUUUUUUAGCAUUUGAAAGUGAAUGUAAACAUUAUUAUUAUUAUU
Long non-coding RNA from Cucumis melo (muskmelon), 1872 nucleotides. RefSeq lists it as uncharacterized. NCBI's taxonomy places the organism in Eukaryota, Viridiplantae, Streptophyta, Magnoliopsida, Cucurbitales, Cucurbitaceae. The record is from RefSeq and is a predicted model, not a curated record. The transcript is spliced from 3 exons.